AACGUAGGACGCAAGCGUUAUCCGGAGUUACUGGGCGUAAAGGGCGUGUAGGCGGCUUGGCAAGUGGCUCGUGAAAGCCUUCGGCUCAACCGGGGUGGACGGGUCAGACUGCGGAGCUGGAGGAUGUCAGAAGGACACGGAAUUCCGGGUGUAGUGGUGAAAUGCGUAGAGAUCCGGAGGAACACCAGUGGCGCAGGCGGUGUCCUGGGGCGUACCUGACGCUGAGACGCGAAAGCAUGGGGAGCGAACGGG
This 252-nucleotide ribosomal RNA is filed under the name uncultured bacterium. RNAcentral describes it as "partial 16S ribosomal RNA". It matches the Rfam family "Bacterial small subunit ribosomal RNA", at positions 524 to 776 of the family's 1533-position model. The record is from RNAcentral.